This 1914-nucleotide long non-coding RNA is filed under the name Hordeum vulgare. RNAcentral describes it as "long non-coding RNA (HVUL_LNC019518)". Lineage: Eukaryota; Viridiplantae; Streptophyta; Magnoliopsida; Poales; Poaceae. The record is from RNAcentral.
UGAUGAAGCCAUGAGAAUGUGAAUGCCACGGUUGACACCUCCAAGACAAGACACCCCGUGGUGCUCACCCCUGAUGAGAGCAACACUGUCCAAGGCACAAGUCAACCCUUGUUGCCUGAUGUAUGGUAAUGGUAUCAUAUCAUUCUGCUCCCUGUAUUGUACUAAUUCUCUGCCCACUGCCCUGGGUUGAAAGUUGAGACCUGCAAAGUGACCGCCUUUAAGCAAAAAGGAGGAGUUGAAAAGGUUGCAAGAUCUUGGUUAUAUUUCACGGGGCCAAUCCAUCCAUCCAUCCAUCCAUCCAUGGCCGCACUACUGUCUUCUCUUCUCCAGCAGACAGGUAAUAACUACCCCAGGCGUCCGAUCAACUUGCCUAGAUCCACUAGACGUUAUCAUCUUCGACCUAGGAGUAGAUAGCUAGUGGCUGACAAGCUGCACACCAGGUGCUCGAUCAUAUGUGUGGCAGAGGCCCACAUUCUCUUUCGCGCUGAGAGCGACAGUGUUUGGACAAUCAUUUGGUUUGGGAAUUGAGAACACAGGUGUCUUGUUGAGCAGGGAGGAGUGAAGAACAUGAAUUGCAUCUGGUAAUUAUGCUUCUUUUGGUUUUCGUCGAAAAAAGAAUGAUAUGCUUCAUGGGUUGUGUAUGAUGGUGUGCCCAGAUGAACGCAUUUGCCUUUCCCGUUCCCAUCACUCAGUUCAUCUGAUGAAUCUGCUUUAAUUUCUCCCAACAAGUGUCACUUCGUUACCCCUUUUUUUUUCUCCCCCUUCUUUAUUCGUUCAUUUCUGUUAUUGUCAGUUGGUGUUAAACAACAGGAAUGACUGCAUGUACAAAAUGCAGCUCCCAGAAAUGAAUAGUUCUUCAUUGAACUCGGCCAUUGUAAAAUCAGUACAAGAGCUUCUGCCUGCAAGAUAUACAGAGGUAUCAGCACAAUCUACAACUUUCCAAUUACUUGAAAGUUUUCAUGUUCCAAUAACUUUUGUACCGUUACAGUUAUGAAGAUACGACAAGCCGGAGCACGAGCCGGAGCAACCAGAGGAUCCCUGACUCACUCAUCAUUAUGAGCUUGAAUCCUAUGCUGUGUUAAGAUAAGUCAACAAAAGCUUCUCAUUAUCGAGCCCACUUACACUCUGCAAAUGGCAUGGCAUGUAGAGCAGACAGGACAUGUUUCUGCAUCGCCUAUCAUCGGCCUACUCCUUAAGCACUAAGGAAGAAAUCUGUACCAAAGGUUAAUUAUUCCAGUGACUUUUAUAUCAUGAUGGUUUUUAGAUAGGACAAGAUACUCCUGGGUGAAGAGCUAAUCGUUAUACGCUUGCUUUAAAUUUGCAUGCAAUUAGGCAAAGCCAAUCAUGGAGGAAUGGAACUUACUUAGGGGGCUAGCCGAUAUAUAGGUUUGCACUUUGUACUGAUGCGUAUAUUAGUAGAUAGUAACAUCCUUGUUACGAGAUGUCCUACUAAAGAAGAUGCAUGCAAGUGGUGAGCUUAUAAGCCAAAAAGCUAAGUGUCUUUCCAGUAAAGCUCCCCACAUUACAUGUAAAGAAGAGAUACUAAACAUUAUGUUAACAUGGAAUGUGAGGAGCUGUCGUUGCAUGGAGGAUCAAGAAUAAAGUGGCAUUUCUUUUCUAGGUUAUAUAGAAAGAUGGUACAAUUCGAUAGACUCUUAGGAGUCGGUGAGAAUUUUGAGGCACAUGUAGGUGCAGCAUGGAAUCGUAUGCACUGCUUCCACAUUUAUGUAAAGAGAUCUGAGUAACCAUAGGUAAUCCAACUUGUAGGUUUUUUUUGGGGGNNNNNNNGGAGGAGGAACGAAGCCCCCAGACUCUGCAACGAUUGAUGCAUGCAGCCAUAUUAUUAAUCAAGUACUCCCUCCGGUCCUUUUUACUCUGCAUAUUAGAUUUGGGUGAAGUCAAACUUUAUAAAGU